CGCACAUUGCGCCCCUCGGUACUCCGGGGGGCAUGCCUGUCCGAGCGUCAUUGAAAACCAUCAAGCCUGGCUUGGUCUUGGGCGAGGUCUGGGGACCCGCCCGCAACCCGUCGGCGGUGCCGGUUCGGCCCUGAGCGUAGCAGAAAUACUCGUUCUGGGGCAGCUGCGGCGCCCGCCAGCAAGUUUUUUACACUUCUCAAGUUUGACCUCGGAUCAGGUAGGGAUACCCGCUGAACUUAA
Molecule: unclassified non-coding RNA, 240 nt
Filed under: Ascomycota sp.
Lineage: Eukaryota; Fungi; Ascomycota
Description: partial contains 5.8S ribosomal RNA, internal transcribed spacer 2, and large subunit ribosomal RNA
Source: RNAcentral